UGGGGAAUAUUGCACAAUGGGCGGAAGCCUGAUGCAGCGACGCCGCGUGAGGGAUGACGGCCUUCGGGUUGUAAACCUCUUUCGACCCUGACGAAGCGUGAGUGACGGUAGGGGGAGAAGAAGCCCCGGCCAACUACGUGCCAGCAGCCGCGGUAAGACGUAGGGUGCGAGCGUUGUCCGGAUUUAUUGGGCGUAAAGAGCUCGUAGGCGGCUCGUCGCGUCUGCCGUGAAAACCCGCAGCUCAACUGCGGGCUUGCGGUUGAUACGGGCGGGCUGGAGUUCGGUAGGGGAGACUGGGAUUCCUGGCGUAGCGGUGAAAUGCGCAGAUAUCAGGAGGAACACCGGUGGCGAAGGCGGGUCUCUGGGCCGAUACUGACGCUGAGGAGCGAAAGCGUGGGGAGCGAAC
RNAcentral lists this ribosomal RNA (406 nucleotides) under uncultured bacterium. RNAcentral's name for it is "bacterial SSU rRNA". It matches the Rfam family "Bacterial small subunit ribosomal RNA", at positions 355 to 773 of the family's 1533-position model. The record is from RNAcentral.